RNAcentral lists this long non-coding RNA (489 nucleotides) under Trifolium pratense (red clover). RNAcentral describes it as "long non-coding RNA (TPRA_LNC002417)". Lineage: Eukaryota; Viridiplantae; Streptophyta; Magnoliopsida; Fabales; Fabaceae. The record is from RNAcentral.
AAUAGAUAUUAUUUUAAAAUAUGAUUAUAUUUAAUAUUAGUAUAUGAGUAAAAAAAAAGUUGUUUAGAAAUAUUAGAUUUUUUAUUAAUUUAUAUCGUAGUUUGUUUACAUUUUAAUGUAAUAGAUCUCUUAUAAUAUUCCAUAAGUUUGAAAGGAUGUAUCAUUUUUUAUUUUAUUAGUGUAAUAAUAUAAGAUUUUAGUUUUCUUUAUAUGAGUUGCAAUUUUAUAGUCAAAUGUCACUUUGUUUUUUAUUUUUGAUGUAUCCCUUAUUUUAUUAUUUUCAAUAAGAGUUGGAGGCAUACCUAAUUAUACUUGUAGACAAUAUUGCUCAUGAGAAAUGUUAAAAAAAGUUUUAAUUAUAGAAUAUGAUUCAUAUAUGGUGGCUUUGACUAUUUAUUCCACGUGUUCUCAUUUUUUGAAAAUUAUGUAUCAAAUAGCAUAUUUUGCUUACUACGUUCUAUGCAAUUUAAGGUUCCAAAUAGCUUAUCU